AUUGAACGCUGGCGGCAUGCCUUACACAUGCAAGUCGAACGGCAGCGGACCCUCGGGUGCCGGCGAGUGGCGAACGGGUGAGUAAUAUAUCGGAACGUACCUUUCAGUGGGGGAUAACGUAGCGAAAGUUACGCUAAUACCGCAUAUUCUGUGAGCAGGAAAGCAGGGGAUCGCAAGACCUUGCGCUGAUUGAGCGGCCGAUAUCAGAUUAGCUAGUUGGUGAGGUAAAGGCUCACCAAGGCGACGAUCUGUAGCGGGUCUGAGAGGAUGAUCCGCCACACUGGAACUGAGACACGGUCCAGACUCCUACGGGAGGCAGCAGUGGGGAAUUUUGGACAAUGGGCGCAAGCCUGAUCCAGCCAUGCCGCGUGAGUGAAGAAGGCCUCGGUUGUAAG
This 395-nucleotide ribosomal RNA is filed under the name uncultured bacterium. RNAcentral's name for it is "bacterial SSU rRNA". It matches the Rfam family "Bacterial small subunit ribosomal RNA", at positions 30 to 429 of the family's 1533-position model. The record is from RNAcentral.